GUCUGUUUGUAGAUAUAAAAAGUCUAGCCUGCCCACUGAUAAAUAAUUUUAAUGGCCGCGGUAUUUCUAACUGUGCAAAGGUAGCAUAAUAAUUAGUUUCUUAAUUAGAAUCUUGUAUGAAUGGUUUGACAAAAAAAAAUCUGUCUCAUAAUUAGUUAUUGAAUUUAACUUUUAAGUGAAAAGGCUUAAAUAAAUUAAAAAGACGAUAAGACCCUAUAAAGCUUAAUAUUAUUUUUAUUAUUUAAUAAAAUUUUUUAAAUAUAAAUAUUUGGUAAUAAUUUAUAUUUUAUUGGGGUGAUAAUAAUAAAAUGAUUAUUAACUGUUAAUUAUUAAAACAAAAAUAAAUGAAUAUUAAAGAUUUAGUAAAUGAUCCUGAUAUUAGAGAUUAAAAGUUUAAGUUACUUUAGGGAUAACAGCGUUAUUUUUUUUGAGAGUUCUUAUCGAAAAAAAAGUUUGCGACCUCGAUGUUGAAUUAAAAUAUCUAUAUAAUUGUAGUAGUUA
This 501-nucleotide ribosomal RNA is filed under the name Sesarma fossarum. Its description in RNAcentral is "partial 16S ribosomal RNA". The record is from RNAcentral. Lineage: Eukaryota; Metazoa; Arthropoda; Malacostraca; Decapoda; Sesarmidae.